Molecule: small nucleolar RNA, 90 nt
Organism: Tachysurus fulvidraco (yellow catfish)
Lineage: Eukaryota; Metazoa; Chordata; Actinopteri; Siluriformes; Bagridae
Product: small nucleolar SNORD12/SNORD106
Exons: 1
Source: RefSeq, a predicted model, not a curated record
UAAGGUGCAAAGGAUGACCAAACUUUUUUCCCCAGCAGAUCGACACUGUUGACUGCGCUAUUUUUAAGCCAAAACUUCUGAUGCACUGUU